RNAcentral lists this ribosomal RNA (497 nucleotides) under uncultured bacterium. Its description in RNAcentral is "partial 16S ribosomal RNA". It matches the Rfam family "Bacterial small subunit ribosomal RNA", at positions 28 to 507 of the family's 1533-position model. The record is from RNAcentral.
GAUGAACGCUGGCGGCGUGCCUAAUACAUGCAAGUCGAGCGAACGGACGAGAAGCUUGCUUCUCUGAUGUUAGCGGCGGACGGGUGAGUAACACGUGGAUAACCUACCUAUAAGACUGGGAUAACUUCGGGAAACCGUAGCUAAUACCGGAUAAUGUUUUGAACCGCAUGGUUCAAAAGUGAAAGACGGUCUUGCUGUCACUUAUAGAUGGAUCCGCGCUGCAUUAGCUAGUUGGUAAGGUAACGGCUUACCAAGGCAACGAUGCAUAGCCGACCUGAGAGGGUGAUCGGCCACACGGGAACUGAGACACGGUCCAGACUCCUACGGGAGGCAGCAGUAGGGAAUCUUCCGCAAUGGGCGAAAGCCUGACGGAGCAACGCCGCGUGAGUGAUGAAGGUCUUCGGAUCGUAAAACUCUGUUAUUAGGGAAGAACAUAUGUGUAAGUAACUGUGCACAUCUUGACGGUACCUAAUCAGAAAGCCACGGCUAACUACGUG